CCUACGGGAGGCAGCAGUGGGGAAUAUUGGACAAUGGGGGCAACCCUGAUCCAGCCAUGCCGCGUGAGUGAAGAAGGCCUUCGGGUUGUAAAGCUCUUUCAGUUGGGAAGAAACGGGGUUCUCUAACAUAGAGCUCUAAUGACGGUACCGACAGAAGAAGCACCGGCUAACUACGUGCCAGCAGCCGCGGUAAUA
Molecule: ribosomal RNA, 195 nt
Filed under: uncultured bacterium
Lineage: Bacteria
Description: partial 16S ribosomal RNA
Rfam family: Bacterial small subunit ribosomal RNA
Source: RNAcentral